CAGUAGCCACGGUAAUACGUAGGGUGCGAGCGUUAAUCGGAAUUAUUGGGCGUAAAGGGAGCGCAGGCGGACAUAUAAGUCCAUCUUAAAAGUGCGGGGCUCAACCCCGUGAGGGGAUGGAAACUGUAUGCCUUGAGUGCAGGAGAGGAAAGCGGAAUUCCCAGUGUAGCGGUGAAAUGCGUAGAUAUUGGGAGGAACACCAGUGGCGAAGGCGGCUUUCUGGACUGUAACUGACGCUGAGGCUCGAAAGCCAGGGGAGCGAACGGGAUUAGAUACCCCUGUAGUCCCUGUCUCUUAUACA
This 301-nucleotide ribosomal RNA is filed under the name uncultured bacterium. Its description in RNAcentral is "partial 16S ribosomal RNA". It matches the Rfam family "Bacterial small subunit ribosomal RNA", at positions 509 to 809 of the family's 1533-position model. The record is from RNAcentral.